CUACGGGGGGCUGCAGUGGGGAAUCUUGGACAAUGGGGGCAACCCUGAUCCAGCCAUGCCGCGUGAGUGAAGAAGGUCUUCGGAUUGUAAAGCUCUUUUGCCAGGGACGAUAAUGACGGUACCUGGAGAAUAAGCCCCGGCAAACUUCGUGCCAGCAGCCGCGGUAAUACGAAGGGGGCUAGCGUUGUUCGGAAUUACUGGGCGUAAAGCGCACGUAGGCGGGUGGUUAAGUCAGGGGUGAAAUCCCGGAGCUCAACUCCGGAACUGCCUUUGAUACUGGCCAUCUAGAGAUCGGAAGAGGUGAGUGGAAUUCCCAGUGUAGAGGUGAAAUUCGUAGAUAUUGGGAAGAACACCAGUGGCGAAGGCGGCUCACUGGUCCGAUACUGACGCUGAGGUGCGAAAGCGUGGGGAGCAAACAGGAUUAGAUACCCCCGUAGUC
This 439-nucleotide ribosomal RNA is filed under the name uncultured bacterium. Its description in RNAcentral is "partial 16S ribosomal RNA". It matches the Rfam family "Bacterial small subunit ribosomal RNA", at positions 339 to 795 of the family's 1533-position model. The record is from RNAcentral.